RNAcentral lists this transfer RNA (73 nucleotides) under Limulus polyphemus (Atlantic horseshoe crab). RNAcentral describes it as "tRNA-Phe". It matches the Rfam family "tRNA". From Rfam's summary of the family: Transfer RNA (tRNA) molecules are approximately 80 nucleotides in length. The record is from RNAcentral. Lineage: Eukaryota; Metazoa; Arthropoda; Merostomata; Xiphosura; Limulidae.
GCCGAGAUAACUCAGUUGGGAGAGCGUUAGACUGAAGAUCUAAAGGUCCCUGGUUCGAUCCCGGGUCUCGGCA